This 2138-nucleotide long non-coding RNA is filed under the name Canis lupus familiaris (dog). RNAcentral's name for it is "lncRNA (ENSCAFG00845011613.1)". The record is from RNAcentral. Lineage: Eukaryota; Metazoa; Chordata; Mammalia; Carnivora; Canidae.
UUUAGUAAUAAACCUGUAACCUAGUAAGUAAACUUUUUCCUGAGUUCUGUGAGACACUCUAGCAAACUAGUUGAACCCAAGUAAGGGGUUCUGGGAACCUCUGGUUUAUAGGUGGUGGGAAGCAUGGGUAAUGACCUGAACUGGUGAUUGGCAUCUGAAAGGGAGGGAGGCAAUCCAAUGGGACUGAACCCUUAGCCUGUGGGAUCUGACACUAUCUUCAAGUAGACAGUGUCAGAAUUGAGUUAAAUUGUAGGACACCCAACUGGUAUUGCAGAAUUACUUGAUGUGUGGAAAAUUCACAUAGCUGGAGUCAGAAGUGAAGUAGUAUCAUAAUACUGAGACUAAAGGAGACAAACCAGGGAUUUUUCCUUUACAACAAGUUCAUUGUGGGGUAAGUUUCUCUCCUAGUUCUUACUGUUGCACUCAGGAUGCUCUUUGAGGAGUAUGAUGAUGCUAUAGGCAUUCCUCAGUGUCCCUUGAUUUUUUUUGAACCUAGCCUGAAGAACAUUUUUAUUCUUAAUGGUAAGAAUGGCUACCACAUCCUCUGCUAUUAUCUUGAUUUUCUUUGGAUAAUUUUCAUCCCCCAAACUUGCUGACUUUCUUCCACUUGCUCUCUUAGCUCUGGGCUCUCAGGGCAUUGGUUCAGCUCAAGUUCUUAGAGAAAACACACCCAAUAGGGGCCACAGUCAAGCCCCACCUGGCAUUUCCAGGGCAUAUUUAUUACACUUUUUGGUGCCUCUUGGACUCAGAUAAAACAGAGCUGGAAAAGACCUUGAAGAGCUAAAAUAAUAGCUGUAUUUUACUGAUAAGGAAAUAGGCCCAGUGAAGAAGAGAUUUUCUCAAGUUCCCUCACUACUAGAUGGCAGGAGAGUCACCACAAAAACCUUGGCCUCAAGCCUCUCUGUCCAAAGCACAAUAACACACCCCCAAGGAAUCCACAUCUAAAUUUCAGGGGACCUUGGAUGAAACAUAGGUAUUUCCACUGUUAAAACAAAAAGCCCAUCCUAGGACAAUUUUUUUUUCUUCUUUUAAAGAUUUUAUUUACUUAUUCAUGAGACACACAGAGAGAGAGGCAGAGACAUAGGCAGAGAAAGAAGUAAGCUUCCUGUGGGGAGCCUGAUGCAGGUGGGGCUUGAUCCCAGGACCCCGGGAUCACAACGUGAGCUGAAGGCAGACGUUCAACCACUGAGCCACCCAGGCAUCCCGGACAAUUCUUUUAUCAUAAUUCUAUAGUCCUAUUAUUUAUACUCAGUCAAUUUUCAAUUGUGGCUGACACAAUGGGAUCAAGGAACACAAGUAUUAAGUAAAAUUUAUCACAGCCAUAAUUAAAGUGUAUUGAUGUGUUUAUCUAUAAGACAUCGGGCUGCUGCUCCAGAAGAUCAUCUUCCUGAGAAUAGGCACUCUGUCCAUAUCCCCAUUGCCUCCACAGGAAACUGCCAGUUAAAACAUUCAGUAAGUAUCUGUGGAAUGGAUAAAUAACAGUUACCAGGAAUAACUAACUUUUACUGAUGUUGUCCAAUCCCAAUCAUAUUUCCAAACAAAUCCUAUCCUGGGUUUAUACUGAAGAAAUAAAAGCAUGGCCUUAGGAAAAGCGUCCAAGACUUGAUAUAUUUAUUUAGCUAUUAUUAUUUUUUUAAGAUUUUAUUUAUUUAUUCAUGAGAGACAGAGAGAGAAGGCAGAGACAUAGGCAAAGGUAGAAGUAGGCUCCCUGUGGGGCGCCCAAUGCGGAACUCUAUCCCAGGACCCCAGGAUCACAACCUGAGCCAAAGGCAGAGGCUCAACCACUGAGCCACCCAGGCAUCACUAGGUAUUAUUAUUGUUAAAGUAAGCUCUAUAUCCAACAUGAGGCUUGCACUCACAACCCUAAGAUUAGGAUGUUACAUGCUCUAUCUACUUAGCCAGCCAGGCACCCCAUAAAGCAGUCCAAGAUUUCAAUACCAGCUUCAUCACAUAUUACAUAUGCUUUAGUGGAUGAUUACACUAUCCUCUUUCAGUCUAUUCUGCUUACAUAUAAAAUACAGAAGGAAGCAUUAACCAGGAGAGUUUCUGGAUGUUCAAAUUAACAUCAGUAGAAAAAGCUCCCAAUCCCGGCAUCAUAGUCAUUGAUGUGCUUCUUAGAAAUAUCUGAGGAAUAUAUG